CGACCGGAGACGGCGCCUUCAGUUCGGCUGGACAGAUCACAGGUGCUGCAUGGCUGUCGUCAGCUCGUGUCGUGAGAUGUUCGGUUAAGUCCGGCAACGAGCGCAACCCACUUCUUUAGUUGCCAUCAUUUAGUUGGGCACUCUAGAGAAACUGCCGAUGAUAAGUCGGAGGAAGGUGUGGAUGACGUCAAGUCCUCAUGGCCCUUACGGGUUGGGCUACACACGUGCUACAAUGGCAGUGACAAUGGGUUAAUCCCCAAAAACUGUCUCAGUUCGGAUUGUCCUCUGCAACUCGAGGGCAUGAAGUCGGAAUCGCUAGUAAUCGCGUAACAGCAUGACGCGGUGAAUA
This 349-nucleotide ribosomal RNA is filed under the name uncultured bacterium. Its description in RNAcentral is "bacterial SSU rRNA". It matches the Rfam family "Bacterial small subunit ribosomal RNA", at positions 998 to 1368 of the family's 1533-position model. The record is from RNAcentral.